AUAAGUAACCUGCCCUCAUGAGGGGGAUAACUAUUAGAAAAGAUAGCUAAGACCGCAUAGGUGAAGGGGUCGCAUGACCGCUUCAUUAAAUAUCCGUAUGGACAGCAGGAGGAUGGACUUAUGGCGCAUUAGCUGGUUGGUGAGGUAACGGCUCACCAAGGCGACGAUGCGUAGCCGACCUGAGAGGGUGGACGGCCACACUGGGACUGAGGCACGGCCCAGACUCCUACGGGAGGCAGCAUG
RNAcentral lists this ribosomal RNA (243 nucleotides) under uncultured bacterium. RNAcentral describes it as "partial 16S ribosomal RNA". It matches the Rfam family "Bacterial small subunit ribosomal RNA", at positions 117 to 353 of the family's 1533-position model. The record is from RNAcentral.